Molecule: ribosomal RNA, 1026 nt
Filed under: Aspergillus sclerotialis
Lineage: Eukaryota; Fungi; Ascomycota; Eurotiomycetes; Eurotiales; Aspergillaceae
Description: SSU rRNA
Rfam family: Eukaryotic small subunit ribosomal RNA
Source: RNAcentral
GCAAUUUAUACGGUGAAACUGCGAAUGGCUCAUUAAAUCAGUUAUCGUUUAUUUGAUAGUGCCUUACUACAUGGAUACCUGUGGUAAUUCUAGAGCUAAUACAUGCUGAAAACCCCGACUUCGGAAGGGGUGUAUUUAUUAGAUAAAAAACCAACGCCCUUCGGGGCUCCUUGGUGAAUCAUAAUAACUUAACGAAUCGCAUGGCCUUGCGCCGGCGAUGGUUCAUUCAAAUUUCUGCCCUAUCAACUUUCGAUGGUAGGAUAGUGGCCUACCAUGGUGGCAACGGGUAACGGGGAAUUAGGGUUCGAUUCCGGAGAGGGAGCCUGAGAAACGGCUACCACAUCCAAGGAAGGCAGCAGGCGCGCAAAUUACCCAAUCCCGAUACGGGGAGGUAGUGACAAUAAAUACUGAUACGGGGCUCUUUUGGGUCUCGUAAUUGGAAUGAGAGCAAUUUAAAUCCCUCACCGAGGAACAAUUGGAGGGCAAGUCUGGUGCCAGCAGCCGCGGUAAUUCCAGCUCCAAUAGCGUAUAUUAAAGUUGUUGCAGUUAAAAAGCUCGUAGUUGAACCUUGGGCCCGGCUGGCCGGUCCGCCUCACCGCGAGUACUGGUCCGGCUGGGCCUUUCCUUCUGGGGAACCUCAUGGCCUUCACUGGCUGUGGGGGGAACCAGGACUUUUACUGUGAAAAAAUUAGAGUGUUCAAAGCAGGCCUUUGCUCGAAUACAUUAGCAUGGAAUAAUAGAAUAGGACGUGCGGUUCUAUUUUGUUGGUUUCUAGGACCGCCGUAAUGAUUAAUAGGGAUAGUCGGGGGCGUCAGUAUUCAGCUGUCAGAGGUGAAAUUCUUGGAUUUGCUGAAGACUAACUACUGCGAAAGCAUUCGCCAAGGAUGUUUUCAUUAAUCAGGGAACGAAAGUUAGGGGAUCGAAGACGAUCAGAUACCGUCGUAGUCUUAACCAUAAACUAUGCCGACUAGGGAUCGGACGGUGUUUCUAUGAUGACCCGUUCGGCACCUUACGAGAAAUCAAAGU